RNAcentral lists this unclassified non-coding RNA (350 nucleotides) under soil metagenome. RNAcentral describes it as "partial contains 5.8S ribosomal RNA, internal transcribed spacer 2, and large subunit ribosomal RNA". The stretch from base 1 to 120 matches the Rfam family "5.8S ribosomal RNA", at positions 35 to 154 of the family's 154-position model. The record is from RNAcentral.
GAUGAAGAACGUAGCGAAAUGCGAUAAGUAAUGUGAAUUGCAGAAUUCAGUGAAUCAUCGAAUCUUUGAACGCACAUUGCGCCCGCCAGUAUUCUGGCGGGCAUGCCUGUUCGAGCGUCAUUUCAACCCUCAAGCCCAGCUUGGUGUUGGGGAUCGGCACAGGCGCCCUCGGGCGCCCGCCGUCCCCUAAAUCUAGUGGCGGUCCCGCUGCAGCCUCCUCUGCGUAGUAGUUUUCUCCUCGCAAGGGCAGCUCGGUGGCGACCUCGCCGUAAAACUCCCAACUUCUGAAAGGUUGACCUCGAAUCAGGUAGGAAUACCCGCUGAACUUAAGCAUAUCAAUAAGCGGAGGA